CUACGGGGUGCUGCAGUGGGGAAUCUUAGACAAUGGGGGCAACCCUGAUCUAGCCAUGCCGCGUGAGUGAUGAAGGCCUUAGGGUCGUAAAGCUCUUUCGCCUGUGAUGAUAAUGACAGUAGCAGGUAAAGAAACCCCGGCUAACUCCGUGCCAGCAGCCGCGGUAAUACGGAGGGGGUUAGCGUUGUUCGGAAUUACUGGGCGUAAAGCGCGCGUAGGCGGAUUAGAAAGUUGGGGGUGAAAUCCCGGGGCUCAACCCCGGAACUGCCUCCAAAACUGCUAGUCUAGAGUUCGAGAGAGGUGAGUGGAAUUCCGAGUGUAGAGGUGAGAUUCGUAGAUAUUCGGAGGAACACCAGUGGCGAAGGCGGCUCACUGGCUCGAUACUGACGCUGAGGUGCGAAAGUGUGGGGAGCAAACAGGAUUAGAUACCCCAGUAGUC
Molecule: ribosomal RNA, 439 nt
Filed under: uncultured bacterium
Lineage: Bacteria
Description: partial 16S ribosomal RNA
Rfam family: Bacterial small subunit ribosomal RNA
Source: RNAcentral